RNAcentral lists this small RNA (288 nucleotides) under Pongo abelii (Sumatran orangutan). RNAcentral's name for it is "processed transcript". The record is from RNAcentral. Lineage: Eukaryota; Metazoa; Chordata; Mammalia; Primates; Hominidae.
CCCGCUGAGGAGAUGGAUGAGGACGGGCUUCCUCUCAUGGGGUCAGGCAUAGACCUGACCAAGGUGCCAGCUAUUCAACAGAAAAGAACGGUGGCUUUUCUAAACCAAUUUGUGGUGCACACUGUACAGUUCCUCAACCGCUUUUCUACAGUUUGUGAGGAGGGCAAGAUGGAGAAGUAUCUGGAAAGGGACUGUCCCAGGAUUACUAGCAGAAAGGAGCAAACACUCUUAUCCCCAUAGCCCUUAUCAUCAAGCUGAAAAAUAAGAACAAAGCAACAAGUAAACACA